This 1379-nucleotide ribosomal RNA is filed under the name Salmonella enterica subsp. enterica serovar Enteritidis. RNAcentral describes it as "partial 23S ribosomal RNA". It matches the Rfam family "Bacterial large subunit ribosomal RNA", at positions 689 to 2049 of the family's 2925-position model. The record is from RNAcentral. Lineage: Bacteria; Pseudomonadati; Pseudomonadota; Gammaproteobacteria; Enterobacterales; Enterobacteriaceae.
CGGGCGUUAAGUUGCAGGGUAUAGACCCGAAACCCGGUGAUCUAGCCAUGGGCAGGUUGAAGGUUGGGUAACACUAACUGGAGGACCGAACCGACUAAUGUUGAAAAAUUAGCGGAUGACCUGUGGCUGGGGGUGAAAGGCCAAUCAAACCGGGAGAUAGCUGGUUCUCCCCGAAAGCUAUUUAGGUAGCGCCUCGUGAAUUCAUCUCCGGGGGUAGAGCACUGUUUCGGCUAGGGGGCCAUCCCGGCUUACCAACCCGAUGCAAACUGCGAAUACCGGAGAAUGUUAUCACGGGAGACACACGGCGGGUGCUAACGUCCGUCGUGAAGAGGGAAACAACCCAGACCGCCAGCUAAGGUCCCAAAGUCAUGGUUAAGUGGGAAACGAUGUGGGAAGGCCCAGACAGCCAGGAUGUUGGCUUAGAAGCAGCCAUCAUUUAAAGAAAGCGUAAUAGCUCACUGGUCGAGUCGGCCUGCGCGGAAGAUGUAACGGGGCUAAACCAUGCACCGAAGCUGCGGCAGCGACACUGUGUGUUGUUGGGUAGGGGAGCGUUCUGUAAGCCUGUGAAGGUGUGUCGUGAGGCAUGCUGGAGGUAUCAGAAGUGCGAAUGCUGACAUAAGUAGCGAUAAAGCGGGUGAAAAGCCCGCUCGCCGGAAGACCAAGGGUUCCUGUCCAACGUUAAUCGGGGCAGGGUGAGUCGACCCCUAAGGCGAGGCCGAAAGGCGUAGUCGAUGGGAAACGGGUUAAUAUUCCCGUACUUGGUGUUACUGCGAAGGGGGGACGGAGAAGGCUAUGUUGGCCGGGCGACGGUUGUCCCGGUUUAAGCGUGUAGGUGUGUGUUCCAGGUAAAUCCGGUUCACUUUAACACUGAGGCGUGACGACGAGGCACUACGGUGCUGAAGCAACAAAUGCCCUGCUUCCAGGAAAAGCCUCUAAGCAUCAGGUAACAUCAAAUCGUACCCCAAACCGACACAGGUGGUCAGGUAGAGAAUACCAAGGCGCUUGAGAGAACUCGGGUGAAGGAACUAGGCAAAAUGGUGCCGUAACUUCGGGAGAAGGCACGCUGACACGUAGGUGAAGUGAUUUACUCAUGGAGCUGAAGUCAGUCGAAGAUACCAGCUGGCUGCAACUGUUUAUUAAAAACACAGCACUGUGCAAACACGAAAGUGGACGUAUACGGUGUGACGCCUGCCCGGUGCCGGAAGGUUAAUUGAUGGGGUCAGCGCAAGCGAAGCUCCUGAUCGAAGCCCCGGUAAACGGCGGCCGUAACUAUAACGGUCCUAAGGUAGCGAAAUUCCUUGUCGGGUAAGUUCCGACCUGCACGAAUGGCGUAAUGAUGGCCAGGCUGUCUCCACCCGAGACUCAGUGAAAUUGAACUC